Molecule: ribosomal RNA, 419 nt
Filed under: bacterium
Lineage: Bacteria
Description: partial 16S ribosomal RNA
Rfam family: Bacterial small subunit ribosomal RNA
Source: RNAcentral
UGGGGGAUAUUGCACAAUGGGCGAAAGCCUGAUGCAGCGACGCCGCGUGGGGGAUGAAGGCCUUCGGGUUGUAAACUUCUUUUGCUCUGAACAAGGCAUGCUAAUGGGUGUGUUGAGUGUAGGGGUUGAUUAGCGCCGGCUAACUACGUGCCAGCAGCCGCGGUAAUACGUAGGGCGCGAGCGUUGUCCGGAAUUAUUGGGCGUAAAGGGCUUGUAGGUGGCUGGUUGCGUCUGUCGUGAAAGCUCAUGGCUUAACUGUGGGUUUGCGGUUAGUACGGGCUGGCUUGAGUGCAGUAGGGGAGGCUGGAAUUCCUGGUGUAGCGGUGGAAUGCGCAGAUAUCAGGAGGAAUACCGGUGGCGAAGGCGGGUCUCUGGGCUGUUACUGACACUGAGGAGCGAAAGCAUGGGGAGCGAACAGG